GUACGAUCUGACUGAACUCCCUUACGGAUCGGUUCGCUCUAGCUGCCGCUCCCAAGGAUUCAAAAGAAAUCGCAUUGUGUGAUAAGAAAUUUUUUUUCUUUUUUCUGCACAGGCUCAUAUAAUAGAAGUAACUUUUGUUAUUUUUUCAGAGAAUUCAUACAGCCAUUAAUUAUCCAAACCUAUUUCUCAGUGCUUUUCAAUGGCGUGAUCUCGGCUUACUGCAACCUCCGCCUCCCAGGUUCAAGCAAUUCUUCUGCCUCAGCCUCCCGAGUAGCUGGGAUUACAAGCGCCUGCCACCACACCUGGCUAAUUUUUGUAGUUUUAGUAAAGAUGGGGUUUCACCAUGGUGGUCAGGCUGGUCUUGAACUCCUGACCUCAGGUGAUCCGCCCACCUCGGCCUCCCAAAGUGCUGGGAUUACAGACAUAAGCCACCGCGCCUGGCCCUCAGUGCUCUUUUCAUUCCACUUAAGAAAUUGGAACACACCAGGAUGAGGAUGAUGAUGCCAAAACUAGAUUGAUGGCUCACAUCAUCUAGGGUACAAAUACAC
Molecule: long non-coding RNA, 548 nt
Filed under: Homo sapiens (human)
Lineage: Eukaryota; Metazoa; Chordata; Mammalia; Primates; Hominidae
Description: HSALNT0390844
Source: RNAcentral